This 497-nucleotide ribosomal RNA is filed under the name uncultured bacterium. RNAcentral describes it as "partial 16S ribosomal RNA". It matches the Rfam family "Bacterial small subunit ribosomal RNA", at positions 28 to 507 of the family's 1533-position model. The record is from RNAcentral.
GAUGAACGCUGGCGGCGUGCCUAAUACAUGCAAGUCGAGCGAACAGACGAGGAGCUUGCUCCUCUGACGUUAGCGGCGGACGGGUGAGUAACACGUGGAUAACCUACCUAUAAGACUGGGAUAACUUCGGGAAACCGGAGCUAAUACCGGAUAAUAUAUUGAACCGCAUGGUUCAAUAGUGAAAGACGGUUUUGCUGUCACUUAUAGAUGGAUCCGCGCCGCAUUAGCUAGUUGGUAAGGUAACGGCUUACCAAGGCAGCGAUGCGUAGCCGACCUGAGAGGGUGAUCGGCCACACUGGAACUGAGACACGGUCCAGACUCCUACGGGAGGCAGCAGUAGGGAAUCUUCCGCAAUGGGCGAAAGCCUGACGGAGCAACGCCGCGUGAGUGAUGAUGGUCUUCGGAUCGUAAAACUCUGUUAUUAGGGAAGAACAAAUGUGUAAGUAACUAUGCACGUCUUGACGGUACCUAAUCAGAAAGCCACGGCUAACUACGUG